GCAAAACAGGAAACUGGUGGAUAGGAGGCAGGACUAACUUGCAGCUCCCACUCAGAAGGACAGAGCAGUGUGUGGACACCCAUAUCGUGAACUUUUGCUCC
Molecule: long non-coding RNA, 101 nt
Organism: Sapajus apella (tufted capuchin)
Lineage: Eukaryota; Metazoa; Chordata; Mammalia; Primates; Cebidae
Exons: 3
Source: RefSeq, a predicted model, not a curated record